RNAcentral lists this ribosomal RNA (159 nucleotides) under Triticum aestivum (bread wheat). RNAcentral describes it as "partial small subunit ribosomal RNA". Lineage: Eukaryota; Viridiplantae; Streptophyta; Magnoliopsida; Poales; Poaceae. The record is from RNAcentral.
AUGUGCAUUCCCAAGAAGAAAGGGGUCUUGGGAUUUAGAGACUUUCACGGUUUUAACCUUGCUAUGUUAGCAAAAUAGUGUUGGCGACUAAUCCAGAACCCGAAUUCUUCAUGUGCACAUGUCCCGAGUGUUAAAUACUACCCGAUGGUAAUACCUUAG